AGAGACAGCAGUCGCCGCGGUAAUGCGUAGGUGGCAAGCGUUGUCCGGAAUUAUUGGGCGUAAAGCGCGCGCAGGCGGAUCGGUUAGUCUGUCUUAAAAGUUCGGGGCUUAACCCCGUGAGGGGACGGAAACUGCUGAUCUAGAGUAUCGGAGAGGAAAGUGGAAUUCCUAGUGUAGCUGUGAAAUGCGUAGAUAUAUGGAGGAACACCGGUGGCGAAAGCGGCUCUCUGGCUUGUAACUGACGCUGAGGCUCGAAAGCGUGGGGAGCAAACAGGAUUAGAUACCCGAGUAGUCCCUGUCUCUUAUACC
This 309-nucleotide ribosomal RNA is filed under the name uncultured bacterium. RNAcentral describes it as "partial 16S ribosomal RNA". It matches the Rfam family "Bacterial small subunit ribosomal RNA", at positions 504 to 808 of the family's 1533-position model. The record is from RNAcentral.